AUACGUAGGUGGCAAGCGUUCUCCGGAUUUACUGGGUGUAAAGGGCGUGUAGGCGGAGAUGCAAGUCAGGAGUGAAAUCUAGGGGCUCAACCCCUAAACUGCUUUUGAAACUGUAUCCCUUGAGUAUCGGAGAGGCAGGCGGAUUUCCUAGGGUAAAGGUUAAAUGCGUAGAUAUUAGGAGGAACACCAGUGGCGAAGGCGGCCUGCUGGACGACAACUGACGCUGAGGCGCGAAAGCGUGGGGAGCAAACAGGAUUAGAUACCCUGGUAGUCCACGCUGUAAACGAUGAAUACUAGGUGUGGGGGGACUGACCCCCUCCGUGCCGCAGUUAACACAAUAAGUAUUCCACCUGGGGAGUACGAUCGCAAGAUUGAAACUCAAAUGAAUUGGCGGGG
This 396-nucleotide ribosomal RNA is filed under the name uncultured bacterium. RNAcentral's name for it is "partial 16S ribosomal RNA". It matches the Rfam family "Bacterial small subunit ribosomal RNA", at positions 523 to 918 of the family's 1533-position model. The record is from RNAcentral.